CCCUGGGUUAGUCGGGACCUAAGCUGAGGCCGAAAGGCGUAGGUGAUGGACAACAGGUUGAUAUUCCUGUACUACCGAUAACCAUUUGAGAGAAGGGAUGACACAGUAGGAUAAGCUAAGCACACUGGUGGUUAUGUGUGCCCAAGCAUUGAGGCAGUCAAAGUAGGCAAAUCCGCGUUGAUACUGCAGGGAUGUGAUGGGGAGCGAAAUUUAGUAG
This 217-nucleotide ribosomal RNA is filed under the name Clostridioides difficile. Its description in RNAcentral is "partial 23S ribosomal RNA". It matches the Rfam family "Bacterial large subunit ribosomal RNA", at positions 1373 to 1585 of the family's 2925-position model. The record is from RNAcentral. Lineage: Bacteria; Bacillati; Bacillota; Clostridia; Peptostreptococcales; Peptostreptococcaceae.